RNAcentral lists this ribosomal RNA (462 nucleotides) under uncultured bacterium. Its description in RNAcentral is "bacterial SSU rRNA". It matches the Rfam family "Bacterial small subunit ribosomal RNA", at positions 28 to 507 of the family's 1533-position model. The record is from RNAcentral.
AAUCAACGCUGGCGGCGUGCCUAACACAUGCAAGUCGAACGCGAAAGGGGCUUCGGUCCUGAGUAGAGUGGCGGACGGGUGAGUAACACGUGGAUGACCUGCCCUCGAGUGGGGGAUAACUCUUCGAAAGGGGAGCUAAGACCGCAUGAGCUCCCGGGGGCGACUCUGGGAGGAAAGCCUGAGGGUGCUGGAGGAGGGGUCCGCGACCGAUUAGCUGGUUGGUGGGGUAAGGGCCUACCAAGGCGACGAUCGGUAGCCGGUCUGAGAGGACGGACGGCCACACUGGAACUGAGAGACGGUCCAGACUCCUACGGGAGGCAGCAGUGGGGAAUUUUGCGCAAUGGGCGCAAGCCUGACGCAGCAACGCCGCGUGGAGGAUGAAGGUUUUCGGAUUGUAAACUCCUGUCCCGGGGGAAGAAGGCAGUGACGGUACCCUGGGAGGAAGCCCCGGCUAACUCCGUG